GACUAGCCCUGAUUGAAGUGGAAAUCCUUUUUAUUUUUUCUUUAAAAAUAAAAAGAUUGCAGCGCAAAGCGGGACGGAUU
Molecule: small RNA, 80 nt
Filed under: Flavobacterium gillisiae
Lineage: Bacteria; Pseudomonadati; Bacteroidota; Flavobacteriia; Flavobacteriales; Flavobacteriaceae
Description: Flavo-1 RNA
Rfam family: Flavo-1 RNA
Source: RNAcentral